Molecule: ribosomal RNA, 465 nt
Filed under: uncultured Klebsiella sp.
Lineage: Bacteria; Pseudomonadati; Pseudomonadota; Gammaproteobacteria; Enterobacterales; Enterobacteriaceae
Description: bacterial SSU rRNA
Rfam family: Bacterial small subunit ribosomal RNA
Source: RNAcentral
CCUACGGGAGGCUGCAGUGGGGAAUAUUGCACAAUGGGCGCAAGCCUGAUGCAGCCAUGCCGCGUGUGUGAAGAAGGCCUUCGGGUUGUAAAGCACUUUCAGCGGGGAGGAAGGCGGUGAGGUUAAUAACCUCAUCGAUUGACGUUACCCGCAGAAGAAGCACCGGCUAACUCCGUGCCAGCAGCCGCGGUAAUACGGAGGGUGCAAGCGUUAAUCGGAAUUACUGGGCGUAAAGCGCACGCAGGCGGUCUGUCAAGUCGGAUGUGAAAUCCCCGGGCUCAACCUGGGAACUGCAUUCGAAACUGGCAGGCUAAAGUCUUGUAGAGGGGGGUAGAAUUCCAGGUGUAGCGGUGAAAUGCGUAGAGAUCUGGAGGAAUACCGGUGGCGAAGGCGGCCCCCUGGACAAAGACUGACGCUCAGGUGCGAAAGCGUGGGGAGCAAACAGGAUUAGAUACCCGGGUAGUC